GACGAACCGAGCGACCGUUGUUCGGAAUCACUGGGCUUAAAGGGCGCGUAGGCGGGUGCUCAAGUCUGUGGUGAAAUCCUCCGGCUCAACCGGAGAACGGCCAUGGAUACUGGGUGCCUCGAGGGUGAUAGGGGUAUGCGGAACUAUCGGUGGAGCGGUGAAAUGCGUUGAUAUCGAUAGGAACUCCGGUGGCGAAGGCGGCAUACUGGAUCACUUCUGACGCUGAGGCGCGAAAGCCAGGGGAGCGAACGGG
Molecule: ribosomal RNA, 253 nt
Filed under: uncultured bacterium
Lineage: Bacteria
Description: partial 16S ribosomal RNA
Rfam family: Bacterial small subunit ribosomal RNA
Source: RNAcentral